RNAcentral lists this long non-coding RNA (793 nucleotides) under Homo sapiens (human). Its description in RNAcentral is "HSALNT0139688". Lineage: Eukaryota; Metazoa; Chordata; Mammalia; Primates; Hominidae. The record is from RNAcentral.
GCACACCCGGGAAACGCCUCCAAGGGGACCAAGUACCUGCUCUCUGCGAGCUGCUCAGCUGUUCACUUCAUCCUCCGUUGACAAGGAAACCAAACCGCACUUCAUUUUUUUUUUUCCAGAAAAACCUUCCACUGCCAUCAUUUGAAAAUUGAUUUACGGGGAGGGAAGGGGGAGAAAUAAGGGACAAUAUAGAUAUAGAUAUCAGGAUAUCUAUCAUAAAAUUAUCUCGGUUUUUUUGCUUAAAAAUGAUCCCAAUCACCAGCUGUAAGAAAAGUUUCAUGUUAUCAAUGGGUAUCAAAAACAGGAGGGAAAAAAAACGAAUUUGUUUUCACCGGCUUCCAAAAAGGGCACAAAAAAUAUAAAAUUAAUGUCUUUGCUCAGUGGUUUGCACCAGUAUUGCAAGACCACAAACUUGUAAACACUGCCGUAAAAUCCCACCUAUACAAAAAUGUUAUCAGAAAAAGAGUAUGCAAAAAAAGAGUUAGAAACAUGCUUUUUAUUUUUACAAAGGAAAAAAAUAGGCACCAUACUUCACAUCGCUUUUUCCAUAAAACCAGUUGCACAUUUUGCUGGACUUGGGAGACGCUCCCAGCGGGCACGGUCGCCGCGGACUCCGAGACACAGCGCCUUGUCUACAGAACGAUCGCAUGCUAGAAAAACUUGGAUUCAGGAAAAGGCUCAAAACCAUGCUCCUCCAGCUUUCCCAAAUAUAAACAAUAAUGAAUAGGACAAGAAUGCCACUGAGAAGGUACUCACCGAGCGGGAGUAAAAUGUUGGAAUAAAAAUGAGAUUU